AUACGGCUCUUUAACACGUAGUCAAUCUAACCUAUGGACGGGGAUAACCUCGGGAAACUGAGGAUAAAACCCGAUAGAUCAUAAUGCCUGGAACGGUUUAUGGUUCAAAUGAUUCGUCGCCGUAGGGUGGGACUGCGGCCUAUCAGCUUGUUGGUGAGGUAAUGGCCCACCAAGGCUAUUACAGGUACGGGCUCUGAGAGGAGAAGCCCGGAGAUGGGUACUGAGACACGGACCCAGGCCCUAUGGGGCGCAGCAGGCGAGAAACCUUUGCAAUGUGCGCAAGCACGACAAGGUUAAUCCGAGUGUUUCCUGUUAAAGGAAUCUUUUGUUAGUUCUAAAACCACUAAUGAAUAAGGGGUGGGCAAGUUCUGGUGUCAGCCGCCGCGGUAAAACCAGCACCUCAAGUGGUCAGGAUGAUUAUUGGGCCUAAAGCAUCCGUAGCCUGUUCUGUAAGUUUCCGGUUAAAUCCAUUAGCUCAACUAAUGGGCUGCCGAAAAUACUGCAGAACUAGGGAGUGGGGGAGGUAGACGGUACUCGGUAGGAAGGGGUAAAAUCCUUUGAUCUAUUGAUGACCACCAGUGGCGAAGGCGGUCUACCAGAACACGUUCGACGGUGAGGGAUGAAAGCUGGGGGAGCAAACCGGAUUAGAUACCCGGGUAGUCCCAGCUGUAAACGAUGCAGACUCGGUGAUGCGCUGGCUUGUGGCCAGUGCAGUGCCGCAGGGAAGCCGUUAAGUUUGCCGCCUGGGAAGUACGUACGCAAGUAUGAAACUUAAAGGAAUUGGCGGGGGAGCACCACAAGGGGUGAAGCCUGCGGUUC
RNAcentral lists this ribosomal RNA (819 nucleotides) under uncultured archaeon. Its description in RNAcentral is "bacterial SSU rRNA". It matches the Rfam family "Archaeal small subunit ribosomal RNA", at positions 83 to 903 of the family's 1478-position model. The record is from RNAcentral.